UUUUGUUUGCAAAAACGUCCGAAUUUUUGAUAAACAUUGCAUCUAAAAACAUGAAGGCUAAACAAUAACGUGCAGAAAGAUUAAAACAUUUGAAAAUCACUUUGAAUGUUGAGGACACUUGAGCAUAUCUUGUCCACAUACUACCCUGGGGCAUCUGUUGUUCCGUUGUGCAGGGCGUCACCUGUGAACAUUCUCCAACAUUU
Molecule: long non-coding RNA, 203 nt
Filed under: Lathyrus oleraceus (garden pea)
Lineage: Eukaryota; Viridiplantae; Streptophyta; Magnoliopsida; Fabales; Fabaceae
Description: Pisum sativum (pea) long non-coding RNA (PSAT_LNC040816)
Source: RNAcentral